AUGAAGCAAAUUGCACAAGGUUUGGAGGUGGAUGUUUCAAAUUAGAAAAAGGGAAGAUGUGGAAGAAAGCCUAAAGACAUCAAUCUAGAGCAAAUCCCUGGAAUCCCACUCAACAAAGGGUCUACAAUUAGGUCACUAUCUUGGCAAUUGGGAUGUAGCUCUACUACACUCUCAAAAAGUUCAAACUAA
Molecule: ribosomal RNA, 189 nt
Filed under: Triticum aestivum (bread wheat)
Lineage: Eukaryota; Viridiplantae; Streptophyta; Magnoliopsida; Poales; Poaceae
Description: partial small subunit ribosomal RNA
Source: RNAcentral